GACAUUAAGCAGAUGACUCAACCUGGUGUCUGUGGCUGACUGAUGAGGAUCCCACAUGAAAUAGGUUACACAAGGAUAUAGUCUUUCCUACUCCUGCAUUUUCCAGGCAUUAGCAUACAGGAAGACAUCCACAAACGUGUAAAACCUUGGGGAGCAGCUGUACUACUCAGAAGGGCUGGAGAGGAUCUGGGGAUGGGAUCAGCUUGUCUGGAGGUGGUCACAUAAGGGUGAGAACACUCAGAUAAGGCACGGGAGGAAUACAUAGAGUAUGCACAUGCAUAAGAUCUACAUGCCUAAAGAGGCUGCAGCUAUCUCCAGAUAAACCCCCUUCAGAUACCUUUCUUGCAACUCUCCCUCAUCCUGAUUAGACCUCAUCUAAGCACAAGAAGUCCUACUGAAUUUCAUCCUCACCAGAAGGAUCCACACUGGGAGUGAAUGAAGCUCUGCAUACCCAGCCAUAUACCCCCCUUGGCGCUCAAUUCAUCCCCUGUUUUGGACUACUCCAGCUACACCCCUAAAGCUUCAAAGCAAGAGACUGGCUUUAAGUUGUGUGGAAACCACCCAGCAAUGUUACUUGGCCUGAGGUCAGGGAUCAGUCCUGACCCUUUUGUAUUCAGCUUCACUGGUGUACACACACCAACAUAUACUCAGACUGGAAAUUAGAUGCAUAAAUCCCAGGAGCUGGACAGGAUUGUAAGCAAGGGGACCAAUGUGGAAAACAAUCAUAAUGAUUACACAUUACACAUGAGAAAGGUAGAAUCACUUUAAAUGAUCAAUAACAAGGAAUGUGUGGAUAUGCCACUGAGGGAUAUGGUUAGUGGGCAUGGUGGGCAUGGGUUGUUGAUUGGACUAGAUGAUCUUAGAGGUCCUUUCCAACCUUAACAGUUCUAUGAUUCUAUGCUUCUAAUAUUUCAUCAGUAACUUUAAUAGCUUGAAUAUUGACUGAGAUAUCUUGGAGAUCCUGACACAUCUCCCUCUAGCAAGAUGAGGAUCCCUGUGCCUUACAUCCUGGCAUCCCAAAUCACUUUAUAGAUACAAAAUGACUUAAAAAGUGAUUCUUACUAUCUGCUUUGCACAAAUGGUAGAAGAAAGGGUAGAGAGACUCAGAGAGUCACUCAGUAAGUAAAUGAAUGUCCUACAUGGAAUUAGUAAACAAUCUUACAAGUAGAAAUUCCUUUAAAAUUUACAAUGAUGCCUUUCCCUGUGUGUCUCCUAUGUAGCGUCUGUCUGCAAUUUUACAAAUGUGAAAGCCAGGGUUUCCCAGGAACAAAGCUUGUCAUAGCAACGAAACAGCACAUUUCAGAGAAUAAAACACACUGCUCACUUCCUAAACACCCCACCAUGUUGCAGAGUAUUAUCCACAAGCCCUGCUCCUCUAGACUGCCAGGAAAGACCUGGCAGAACAAUGGCCACUACAGGCCACUACACCUUGAGAACCCUUCCAUGUAAUCAUAAUGGGGAUGAAUGUUUCUCUUCUGCCUGGCCCCACUGCAUGCAGCUGCUGCUCACAGUCAUGCCCAGCUCCCAGCCCCUUAUUUCUAGACAUAUCAGUACAUACUUGCCUCUUUUUUCUCCAGAAAAUAAAUAAAAUAAAAUAAAAUAAAAUAAAA
Gallus gallus (chicken) is the source of this 1610-nucleotide long non-coding RNA. The record is from Ensembl. Lineage: Eukaryota; Metazoa; Chordata; Aves; Galliformes; Phasianidae.